This 435-nucleotide ribosomal RNA is filed under the name uncultured bacterium. RNAcentral's name for it is "partial 16S ribosomal RNA". It matches the Rfam family "Bacterial small subunit ribosomal RNA", at positions 29 to 507 of the family's 1533-position model. The record is from RNAcentral.
AGCGAACGCUGGCGGCAGGCUUAACACAUGCAAGUCGAGCGGGCACUUUCGGGUGUCAGCGGCGGACGGGUGAGUAACGCGUGGGAACGUGCCCUCUGGUUCGGAAUAACUCAGGGAAACUUGAGCUAAUACCGGAUACGCCCUUUUGGGGAAAGGCUUGCUGCCGGAGGAUCGGCCCGCGUCUGAUUAGCUAGUUGGUUAGGUAACGGCUCACCAAGGCGACGAUCAGUAUCUGGUCUGAGAGGAUGAUCAGCCACACUGGGACUGAGACACGGCCCAGACUCCUACGGGAGGCAGCAGUGGGGAAUAUUGGAAAAUGGGCGAAAGCCUGAUCCAGCCAUGCCGCGUGAGUGAUGAAGGCCUUAGGGUUGUAAAGCUCUUUUAUCAGGGACGAUAAUGACGGUACCGGAGGAAUAAGCCCCGGCUAACUUCGUG